This 67-nucleotide ribosomal RNA is filed under the name Haemophilus influenzae. RNAcentral describes it as "partial 16S ribosomal RNA". It matches the Rfam family "Bacterial small subunit ribosomal RNA", at positions 1 to 67 of the family's 1533-position model. The record is from RNAcentral. RNAcentral also lists the same sequence under 1 other name. Lineage: Bacteria; Pseudomonadati; Pseudomonadota; Gammaproteobacteria; Pasteurellales; Pasteurellaceae.
GAAUUGAAGAGUUUGAUCAUGGCUCAGAUUGAACGCUGGCGGCAGGCUUAACACAUGCAAGUCGAAC